GGAAUAUUGCACAAUGGGCGCAAGCCUGAUGCAGCCAUGCCGCGUGUAUGAAGAAGGCCUUCGGGUUGUAAAGUACUUUCAGCGGGGAGGAAGGCGACGGGGUUAAUAACCCUGUCGAUUGACGUUACCCGCAGAAGAAGCACCGGCUAACUCCGUGCCAGCAGCCGCGGUAAUACGGAGGGUGCAAGCGUUAAUCGGAAUUACUGGGCGUAAAGCGCACGCAGGCGGUCUGUUAAGUCAGAUGUGAAAUCCCCGGGCUUAACCUGGGAACUGCAUUUGAAACUGGCAGGCUUGAGUCUUGUAGAGGGGGGUAGAAUUCCAGGUGUAGCGGUGAAAUGCGUAGAGAUCUGGAGGAAUACCGGUGGCGAAGGCGGCCCCCUGGACAAAGACUGACGCUCAGGUGCGAAAGCGUGGGGAGCAAACAGGAUUAGAUACCCGAG
RNAcentral lists this ribosomal RNA (440 nucleotides) under uncultured Pantoea sp. RNAcentral describes it as "bacterial SSU rRNA". It matches the Rfam family "Bacterial small subunit ribosomal RNA", at positions 358 to 790 of the family's 1533-position model. Lineage: Bacteria; Pseudomonadati; Pseudomonadota; Gammaproteobacteria; Enterobacterales; Erwiniaceae. The record is from RNAcentral.